This 557-nucleotide ribosomal RNA is filed under the name uncultured bacterium. RNAcentral describes it as "bacterial SSU rRNA". It matches the Rfam family "Bacterial small subunit ribosomal RNA", at positions 102 to 694 of the family's 1533-position model. The record is from RNAcentral.
ACGGGUGCGUAACGCGUGGGAAUCUGCCUUGGGGUUCGGAAUAACUCCCCGAAAGGGGUGCUAAUACCGGAUGAUGUCGAAAGACCAAAGAUUUAUCGCCCUGAGAUGAGCCCGCGUAGGAUUAGCUAGUUGGUGUGGUAAAGGCGCACCAAGGCGACGAUCCUUAGCUGGUCUGAGAGGAUGAUCAGCCACACUGGGACUGAGACACGGCCCAGACUCCUACGGGAGGCAGCAGUGGGGAAUAUUGGACAAUGGGCGAAAGCCUGAUCCAGCAAUGCCGCGUGAGUGAUGAAGGCCUUAGGGUUGUAAAGCUCUUUUACCCGGGAAGAUAAUGACUGUACCGGGAGAAUAAGCCCCGGCUAACUCCGUGCCAGCAGCCGCGGUAAUACGGAGGGGGCUAGCGUUGUUCGGAAUUACUGGGCGUAAAGCGCACGUAGGCGGCUUUGCAAGUCAGAGGUGAAAGCCUGGAGCUCAACUCCAGAACUGCCUUUGAGACUGCAUCGCUUGAAUCCAGGAGAGGUGAGUGGAAUUCCGAGUGUAGAGGUGAAAUUCGUAGA